RNAcentral lists this ribosomal RNA (265 nucleotides) under uncultured bacterium. RNAcentral's name for it is "partial 16S ribosomal RNA". It matches the Rfam family "Bacterial small subunit ribosomal RNA", at positions 89 to 354 of the family's 1533-position model. The record is from RNAcentral.
CGUUUAGUGGCGGACGGGUGAGUAACGCGUGGGUAACCUGCCCUGUACAGGGGGAUAACAGCUGGAAACGGCUGUUAAUACCGCAUAAGCGCACAGGAGCGCAUGCUCCGGUGUGAAAAACUCUGGUGGUACAGGAUGGACCCGCGUCUGAUUAGCUGGUUGGCGGGGUAACGGCCCACCAAGGCAACGAUCAGUAGCCGGCCUGAGAGGGUGAACGGCCACAUUGGGACUGAGACACGGCCCAAACUCCUACGGGAGGCAGCAG